Phyllostomus hastatus (greater spear-nosed bat) is the source of this 1012-nucleotide long non-coding RNA. RefSeq lists it as uncharacterized. The transcript is spliced from 2 exons. The record is from RefSeq and is a predicted model, not a curated record. Lineage: Eukaryota; Metazoa; Chordata; Mammalia; Chiroptera; Phyllostomidae.
AUCUGGUACAUGUUGCAAAUACUAAAAGCAAAUAGUUGUUGCCUCGCAGUGUGAAGGCCGUCGUUAGGGAAAAAAUUUCCAGUAAGUUAGCAUUGAGUGUUUUAGAGUGGACCUUCACCGCUGAAAUAAGUUGAAUCACGUUUAUUGGACCUACACUCCCGCCCAUGCCUGCAUCACCAGUGGGGGGAGGGGAGGUUUUAUGCCAGAAAGCACAAUUUAAAUACAAGCAGUCGACUAAACUAAUGGAAAAGAGCUCUAAAACAGCCACAGCUUUGCUUAAAUGAACCCAUUAGGCCACUAUUUCAAUGCACGAUUUGGUGGAAAGGUUUCCAGUGUGACAGACUGCUCAUAAAGCAAGGCCGCCACCCGGUCAGGGCCGGGGCCAGGGCGCUGGGGUGCGUGGGAGAGGCAGCCGAACGGCGUUUCUCUACUUCCUCUAGAAAUCAAACGUACCCUCGCCCGAGGGUUUAAAAAACGGCAACAAAAACAAAAGGCUUCCCCAAAAGGGGCUGGCGCAGCUGCAAGGCGGGUGGGUUCGGGCGGCCCGGCCAGUAGCCCCGGGGGCUGCGCGGCCGCGGCGCACACGCCGGAAGUGCGCCGUGCGGCCCGGCUCUGCGCCGGCCGCGCGCUCGCGAGACCACGGCCCCGACGCCCCGGGACGGCCGCCCCCAGGUCGAGGAGGCUUCUCGGGCUGAGGAGACGAGCCGGUCCGGUAUGCUCAAGCCUCGUUUCCGCGCAGCCGCCACCGCGCUCGCCCCGCCGCUCCCCCGGGAACGGAACUCCGACUCCGAGCCGUUCCCCGCCGCCGCUCGGGUCCAGUCACUGGGCCGCCGUUGGAGCCGGCGAUGCCGUUCUCGCGGCGGGAGUGAAGCGGCUGCGGAAAGGUGAGGCUGUGAGAAGAGUCGGGGACGUGAUGGGAGCAGAACACAGCCGCUCUCUCCGUGGACCCUGGAGGACACCUGGGGCGAAGGGGAGCCUGGUGGCACCUGAGACAUAGGGCGGAGCCCCCUCA